AAAAUUGUGUCGUUUGGGUCUAACCUAUAUGGGGAAAAAUGAAAUGCGGAUAGUGUUCCCUUUUGCAUCCCUGCUUAAAAAGUUGGAUCUCCUCUAUGCAUUGCUUGACACAGAGGACCAUUGUCUUCUAAUUCAAAAAUGCUUCAACUUAGAAGUUCUUGAGACAAGAAAUGUUAUUGGAGAUCGAGGGUUGGAAGUUCUUGCUUCAAGUUGCAGGCGACUAAAGAGGCUUAGAAUUGAGCUUGGUGCUGAUGAGCAGGGAAUGGAGGAUGA
Molecule: unclassified non-coding RNA, 273 nt
Filed under: Hevea brasiliensis (rubber tree)
Lineage: Eukaryota; Viridiplantae; Streptophyta; Magnoliopsida; Malpighiales; Euphorbiaceae
Source: RNAcentral